CGUACCAACACGAAUACGUCCGUCUGGUUUCCUGCGUUCCUGUUUCCAGAGAAAUUUAGUGAUUUAUUUCCAUAUUUCUGGGUUUAUUCCAGCUAACCUUCUCCGUCCGGAACCCCGAACCUUUGCGUCGACCACCCCAGGACAACACGAUGCUCUCACCGAGGUUAGUGAUGCUGCGAUCAGCUGCAUCCAUGAUGAGCAGGUCUCUGUGUGCAGCAGCAUCCCACGGCAGGGCUCCAGACAUGGCUGAUGGAAAUCCACUGUUGCACGUGUCAAACGUCAGAAACAGACUGAGAGAGAUCGUGGGAGCUUCAACAAACUGGAGCGACCAUCAGCAGGCCAUGGCAGAGCGCACAACGCUGUCGUCCAUGUUGGCCAAGUCUCAAAGCGAUCUCCCUGCUAAGAGGAUGCAGGACAGUUUCCUGGAGGUCCAUCUUCCUCUGGGGUCGGAGCCGCAGCUCAGAGAGAAGUACCUGACGUAUCACAACACCGUCAGGUUUGGACGAAUCCUGGAGGAUUUGGACAGUUUAGCAGUUCUCAUUUCCUACUCGCACACCUACAACCCGGCGCUGAGGAGGUCUCCUCUGUCCAUCGUCACGGCGCUGGUGGAUAAGAUCGACAUGAGGCAACACGUCAUCUACCCCGACUGUGACAUCAAGUUCACGGGUCAUGUGACCUGGGUGGGGAAGACGUCCAUCGAAGCAAAGAUGCACAUGUCACAGGUAAACGUGUGGUGUGGUGAGGGACGCGGCCGGAUCCGCGCGUCACCGCUGCUGAUCCGGAAACAGUUCUGUUCAAACCGUAGAGACUUCACUCCAAAGAUAUGUUCAAUCCGCCCGUCUCGUCCUGCAGUUCCGAGACGGGUCGUACGCCCCGGUUCUGGACGCUACGUUUGUCAUGGUGGCCCGAGACCCGGAAAACAAAAGGGCGGCGUUUGUAAAUCCGCUGAAGCCCGACGGCGCAGCGGAGGAGAAGCUCCUCCAGGAGGGAGAAACCAACAGACAUCGUCGUGUGGAGCUGAGCACGGCGUCGCUGCUGAAGGUCGCUCCGACCGACGCGGAGAGGAAGAUCGUUCACGACCUGUUCCUCAACACUCUGGACCCAAAGUGAGACCUCAGACGUCCUCUCUGUCCAGAACCACAGACGGUUACGGGUCAGGAUCUCCUCCGUCACGGUUCUGUUAUUCAUCUGAUCCCGGUCUCCGUCGUUUUCAGCACCGUCAGUUUCCGCAGCAGGAUUUUACCUCCAAACUCGGUUUGGAUGGAAGACGCCAAACUGAAAGGUCUGGAGAUCUGCCAUCCUCAGCAAAGGAACAUCUUCAACCGGAUCUUUGGAGGAUUCCUGAUGAGGAAAGCCUACGAGCUGGGCUGGGCCAACGCCUGCUCCUACGGAGGGUGCCGACCCACCCUGGUGGCCGUGGACGACAUUCUCUUCCAGAAACCCGUGGAGAUCGGCUCCUUGUUGAUGCUGUCGUCACAGGUGUGCUUCACUCAGGGGAAGUUCAUCCAGGUCAGAGUUCACAGCGAGGUGUUUGACCCGCUGACUCGGCAGCACAGCACCACCAACAUCUUCCACUACACCUUCGCUUCAGACCGUGACGUUCCCAACAUCGUUCCCAAGACCUACGGAGAGUCGAUGCUCUACCUGGAUGGAAAGAGACACUUCAACCAGACGGUGGAAUCCUGAGAAUUCCCAGAUGUUCCUGCUGAAGCUCCCCCAGCCAGAAACAAACCACAGGAGUGUUUAACUUACAGCUUUACGCCUUUUUAUAAUGCACUUUUACACCAUGUUGGCUUCCAUUCAGUUACAUUUUAAUGUAUAUUUUUAUUUUUGCUUGAAUAUAUUCCAUCUUUUAGUUCUUUUUAAAACACAGAAAGGUUUUAUUUACCUGCAGCGUUUCGUUUGCGGCUGUCAGCCGCAAACGAAACGCUGCAGGUAAAUAAAACCUUUCUGUGUUUUAAAAAGAACUAAAAGAUGGAAUUAGAGUUUCAACACAGCAAAGAUGCUUGAAUAUAUUAUUCCUGCUGUGAGGAGAUGUGGGCUCAAGGCAACAAACAAGUAAAUAAAUAAAUGAAUAAAUAAAUGAUCUCUGUUUCAUA
Nothobranchius furzeri (turquoise killifish) is the source of this 2099-nucleotide non-coding RNA. NCBI's taxonomy places the organism in Eukaryota, Metazoa, Chordata, Actinopteri, Cyprinodontiformes, Nothobranchiidae. The record is from RefSeq and is a predicted model, not a curated record.